AUGACUAUACUUUCAGGGAUCAUUUCUAUAGUUUCUAACUUGAGAAAUGUGUUUCUAAAGUGAUUGGUCUCGCUAACCACGAUGAAGAGGUAAUGAUACUUCUCCCUGAGCGUGAAUCGUACUUCAGUUAGUGAGUCUCUCACAUGACUGUUGUAAUUGAUGACCGUUCACUGUCGGUGAAUGCUGAUAGCGAUGGGAGGAGUAUGUUCAGAGUGGCA
Small nucleolar RNA from Oryzias javanicus (javanese ricefish), 218 nucleotides. The record is from Ensembl. NCBI's taxonomy places the organism in Eukaryota, Metazoa, Chordata, Actinopteri, Beloniformes, Adrianichthyidae.